GGUCUUGUAGUUUAUAUUAAAAUGUUUAGUUGCAAACUUUGAGAAACAUGUGUUUGUUAAGACUU
This 65-nucleotide transfer RNA is filed under the name Architeuthis dux (giant squid). RNAcentral describes it as "tRNA-Cys". Lineage: Eukaryota; Metazoa; Mollusca; Cephalopoda; Oegopsida; Architeuthidae. The record is from RNAcentral.